RNAcentral lists this ribosomal RNA (489 nucleotides) under uncultured bacterium. Its description in RNAcentral is "bacterial SSU rRNA". It matches the Rfam family "Bacterial small subunit ribosomal RNA", at positions 30 to 517 of the family's 1533-position model. The record is from RNAcentral.
AUUGAACGCUGGCGGCAUGCCUUACACAUGCAAGUCGAACGGUAACGCGGGGCAACCUGGCGACGAGUGGCGAACGGGUGAGUAAUGCAUCGGAACGUGCCCAGUAGUGGGGGAUAGCCCGGCGAAAGCCGGAUUAAUACCGCAUACGACCUACGGGUGAAAGCGGGGGACUCGCAAGAGCCUCGCGCUAUUGGAGCGGCCGAUGUCAGAUUAGGUAGUUGGUGGGGUAAAAGCCUACCAAGCCGACGAUCUGUAGCUGGUCUGAGAGGACGACCAGCCACACUGGGACUGAGACACGGCCCAGACUCCUACGGGAGGCAGCAGUGGGGAAUUUUGGACAAUGGGCGCAAGCCUGAUCCAGCCAUGCCGCGUGCAGGAUGAAGGUCCUAUGGAUUGUAAACUGCUUUUAGCAGAGAAGAAAAGCAUCCUUUUAAGGGUGUCUGACGGUAUCUGCGGAAUAAGCACCGGCUAACUCCGUGCCAGCAGCCG